AUUUCCGCUGCGUUUUGGAUCGCAAUUCUCCUUCAUUAUGGACGAAGGAACACUAAGAAGUACAGUUUCAGAUGUCCUGAUUUGAAAGAGCUAAGGAAGCUAUCAUCUUUUGUAUUAGAUCCCUUGGACUUCAAGCAACGUCAUGGGAAGGUUUUAUCCGUGUUAUCUGAUGAUGUAGUUGAAGGACUCUUGAGUAUGUU
This 200-nucleotide long non-coding RNA is filed under the name Lathyrus oleraceus (garden pea). Its description in RNAcentral is "Pisum sativum (pea) long non-coding RNA (PSAT_LNC025832)". The record is from RNAcentral. Lineage: Eukaryota; Viridiplantae; Streptophyta; Magnoliopsida; Fabales; Fabaceae.